CCUACGGGUGGCUGCAGUGGGGAAUAUUGGACAAUGGGGGCAACCCUGAUCCAGCCAUGCCGCGUGUGUGAAGAAGGCCCUCGGGGUGUAAAGCACUUUCAGUGAGGAAGAACGCCUGGUGGUUAAUACCCAUCAGGAAAGACAUCACUCACAGAAGAAGCACCGGCUAACUCCGUGCCAGCAGCCGCGGUAAUACGGAGGGUGCGAGCGUUAAUCGGAAUUACUGGGCGUAAAGCGCGCGUAGGUGGCUUGAUAAGCCGGUUGUGAAAGCCCCGGGCUCAACCUGGGAACGGCAUCCGGAACUGUCAAGCUAGAGUGCAGGAGAGGAAGGUAGAAUUCCCGGUGUAGCGGUGAAAUGCGUAGAGAUCGGGAGGAAUACCAGUGGCGAAGGCGGCCUUCUGGACUGACACUGACACUGAGGUGCGAAAGCGUGGGUAGCAAACAGGAUUAGAUACCCCGGUAGUC
This 465-nucleotide ribosomal RNA is filed under the name Vreelandella stevensii. RNAcentral's name for it is "partial 16S ribosomal RNA". It matches the Rfam family "Bacterial small subunit ribosomal RNA", at positions 338 to 795 of the family's 1533-position model. The record is from RNAcentral. Lineage: Bacteria; Pseudomonadati; Pseudomonadota; Gammaproteobacteria; Oceanospirillales; Halomonadaceae.